AGAGUUUGAUCAUGGCUCAGGAUGAACGCUAGCUACAGGCUUAACACAUGCAAGUCGAGGGGAAACGACAUCGAAAGCUUGCUUUUGAUGGGCGUCGACCGGCGCACGGGUGAGUAACGCGUAUCCAACCUGCCCACCACUUGGGGAUAACCUUGCGAAAGUAAGACUAAUACCCAAUGACGUCUCUAGAAGACAUCUGAAGGAGAUUAAAGAUUUAUCGGUGAUGGAUGGGGAUGCGUCUGAUUAGCUUGUUGGCGGGGUAACGGCCACAAGGCGACGAUCAGUAGGGGUUCUGAGAGGAAGGUCCCCCACAUUGGAACUGAGACACGGUCCAAACUCCUACGAGGCA
This 349-nucleotide ribosomal RNA is filed under the name uncultured bacterium. Its description in RNAcentral is "bacterial SSU rRNA". It matches the Rfam family "Bacterial small subunit ribosomal RNA", at positions 8 to 350 of the family's 1533-position model. The record is from RNAcentral.